Molecule: ribosomal RNA, 424 nt
Filed under: uncultured bacterium
Lineage: Bacteria
Description: bacterial SSU rRNA
Rfam family: Bacterial small subunit ribosomal RNA
Source: RNAcentral
UGGGGAGUAUUGGACAAUGGGGGCAACCCUGAUCCAGCAAUGCCGCGUGAGUGAUGAAGGCCUUAGGGUUGUAAAGCUCUUUCGACGGGGAAGAUGAUGACGGUACCCGUAGAAGAAGCCCCGGCUAACUUCGUGCCAGCAGCCGCGGUAAUACGAAGGGGGCUAGCGUUGUUCGGAUUUACUGGGCGUAAAGGGCGCGUAGGCGGUGCAAUAAGUCAGGCGUGAAAGCCCCGGGCUCAACCCGGGAAUUGCGCUUGAUACUGUUGCGCUUGAAUCCAGGAGAGGAUGGCGGAAUUCCCAGUGUAGAGGUGAAAUUCGUAGAUAUUGGGAAGAACACCAGUGGCGAAGGCGGCCAUCUGGCCUGGAAUUGACGCUGAGGCGCGAAAGCGUGGGGAGCAAACAGGAUUAGAUACCCCCGUAGUCC